AGAACGAACGCUGGCGGCAGGCUUAACACAUGCAAGUCGAACGGUUGUAGCAAUACAGCAGUGGCAGACGGGUGAGUAACACGUGGGAACCUUCCUAGGGGUACGGAACAACUCAGGGAAACUUGAGCUAAUACCGUAUACGUCCGUGAGGAGAAAGAUUUAUCGCCCCUAGACGGGCCCGCGUAGGAUUAGGUAGUUGGUGAGGUAACGGCUCACCAAGCCUACGAUCCUUAGCUGAUCUGAGAGGAUGAUCAGCCACACUGGGACUGAGACACGGCCCAGACUCCUACGGGAGGCAGCAGUGGGGAAUCUUGGACAAGUGGGCGCAAGCCUAGAUCCAGCCAUCGCCGCGUGAGUCGAAGAAGGCCUUCGGGUGUAAAGC
RNAcentral lists this ribosomal RNA (382 nucleotides) under uncultured soil bacterium. Its description in RNAcentral is "bacterial SSU rRNA". It matches the Rfam family "Bacterial small subunit ribosomal RNA", at positions 26 to 431 of the family's 1533-position model. The record is from RNAcentral.